GAGUGAUUGAUAAUAGACUGCUUGGGUUUCUCCAAAUGUUAAAAAUGACUGGAAGGGAAUGCUUGUUGUGUGGACCCUGUCAUAUAAUUUAUUGAUUUGGGAAGUUUACGGGGAAGGAUAGAUGGGAAAAUAUUAUAGCAUUUUCGAGGAUAAUGCUUGGGUAAUCUCUUUACUUGUGCACUGAAUUUCUGUUGGUUGGUUUGAAAUUUAUGUCAG
Molecule: unclassified non-coding RNA, 216 nt
Filed under: Hevea brasiliensis (rubber tree)
Lineage: Eukaryota; Viridiplantae; Streptophyta; Magnoliopsida; Malpighiales; Euphorbiaceae
Source: RNAcentral